RNAcentral lists this ribosomal RNA (253 nucleotides) under uncultured bacterium. Its description in RNAcentral is "partial 16S ribosomal RNA". It matches the Rfam family "Bacterial small subunit ribosomal RNA", at positions 524 to 776 of the family's 1533-position model. The record is from RNAcentral.
UACAGAGGUGGCAAGCGUUGUUCGGAAUUACUGGGCGUAAAGGGCGCGUAGGCGGCCUUCUAAGUCAGACGUGAAAUCCCCCGGCUUAACCUGGGAACUGCGUCUGAUACUGGGAGGCUAGAGUUUGGGAGAGGGAUGCAGAAUUCCAGGUGUAGCGGUGAAAUGCGUAGAUAUCUGGAGGAAUACCGGUGGCGAAGGCGGCAUCCUGGACCAAUACUGACGCUGAGGCGCGAAAGCUAGGGGAGCAAACGGG